UACGUAGGGUGCAAGCGUUAAUCGGAAUUACUGGGCGUAAAGCGUGCGCAGGCGGUUUUGUAAGUCUGAUGUGAAAUCCCCGGGCUCAACCUGGGAAUGGCAUUUGUGACUGGAAGGCUAGAGUGUGUCAGAGGGGGGUAGAAUUCCACGUGUAGCAGUGAAAUGCGUAGAGAUGUGGAGGAAUACCGAUGGCGAAGGCAGCCCCCUGGGAUAACACUGACGCUCAUGCACGAAAGCGUGGGGAGCAAACAGG
RNAcentral lists this ribosomal RNA (253 nucleotides) under uncultured bacterium. RNAcentral's name for it is "partial 16S ribosomal RNA". It matches the Rfam family "Bacterial small subunit ribosomal RNA", at positions 524 to 776 of the family's 1533-position model. The record is from RNAcentral.